GCGCCUGGGUUAAAGCAGCUCUUGUCAGGCUCAAAGCCAGCUUUUAGUCCCCUAGGGCCCACUGUGUCUGAAAGGAGCUCACAUCUCCUGGGCCCUACUGCCAGGGGAGACCUCAGUCCCCAAAGCCCUGCUGGAUUGACCAAGUCCCCACAGGCAGCUAGGGGCUCACUGAUGGAUGACUCAAACCUCUAAUGGCCACUUUUCCCCUCCAGUACUGGGGAUGGGACCCGGGGUGCUUCACCACUGAGCUGCAUCCCCAGCCCUUUUGAUUUUUUAUUUUGCGAUAGAGUCUUGCUACGUUGCCAAGGCUAACCUCGAACUUGGGAUCCUUGGGCCUCGGCCUCCUAAGUCACCUGGCAUUACAAGCUUGUGCCACUGCACCCUGCUUCCAUGAGGUUCGUCGAGACCAUCCCCUCAAGGCCAGAGUUACUAGGAGGAGUUCAGAAACGGCCCGAGUACCCUAUGAAUAAAUGUUCAGGGUUCCAUCCGGAGACACCCGUGGUGACUGAUGAGUCAUCUGAUGGCCAGCUGUCACCACAGAGCACUAUAUAUAGAAAGAAAGGCCAGAGGAGUGCCUGGGACCUAAUGCAGAGAGGAGGAGGUUGUACCGAGGAGGUGAGGCCCCAGCUGGGGGACAGGCCUACAGGACCUGGAAACUGCACCCACAGGUCUGCCCCAAAUGGACUCCGGGUGAGCCACUCCCCAGCACGGAACACUCCAUGGACUAGAAGCCACAAGGCUACAGCCAGGCUCUGCCAGCCCAUUAAUGAGGAUUACCACUAAUGAUGGUGGGGGAGGGGGAAUAAUGGCUCGGCCAAUUCUCCACGUGUCACUGCGUAGGUUUUCCCUCAUACAUGCACUUGAAGGCCACGUUCAUAUUGCUGUCAUUUAGGUGGCCAAAACGGAGGCUCGG
Molecule: long non-coding RNA, 913 nt
Filed under: Marmota monax (woodchuck)
Lineage: Eukaryota; Metazoa; Chordata; Mammalia; Rodentia; Sciuridae
Source: RNAcentral